RNAcentral lists this unclassified non-coding RNA (253 nucleotides) under uncultured Chlamydiales bacterium. RNAcentral describes it as "contains 16S-23S intergenic spacer region". It matches the Rfam family "Bacterial small subunit ribosomal RNA", at positions 524 to 776 of the family's 1533-position model. Lineage: Bacteria; Pseudomonadati; Chlamydiota; Chlamydiia; Chlamydiales. The record is from RNAcentral.
UACGGAGGGUGCAAGCAUUAAUCGGAUUUACUGGGCGUAAAGAGCGCGUAGGCGGCUUAUUAAGUUAGGUGUGAAAUUCCGGAGCUCAAAUUCGGAGCUGCACUUAAAACUGGUAGGCUAGAGGGUAGAUAGGGAAAACGGAAUUCCACGUGUAGCGGUGAAAUGCGUAGAUAUGUGGAAGAACACCGGUGGUGAAGACGGUUUUCUGAUCUAUGCCUGACGCUAAGGCGCGAAAGCGUGGGGAGCAAACAGG